Molecule: ribosomal RNA, 325 nt
Filed under: uncultured bacterium
Lineage: Bacteria
Description: bacterial SSU rRNA
Rfam family: Bacterial small subunit ribosomal RNA
Source: RNAcentral
GAUGAACGCUGGCGGCGUGCUUAACACAUGCAAGUCGAACGAAGCAUUCCCGGACGAGCCUUCGGGUGAGGAAAGGAAUGACUGAGUGGCGGACGGGUGAGUAACGCGUGGGUAACCUGCCGUAUGCAGGGGGACAACAGUUAGAAAUGACUGCUAAUACCGCAUAAGCGCACAGUAUUGCAUGAUACGGUGUGAAAAGAUUUAUCGGCAUACGAUGGACCCGCGUCUGAUUAGCUGGUUGGUGAGGUAACGGCUCACCAAGGCGACGAUCAGUAGCCGACUUGAGAGAGUGAUCGGCCACAUUGGGACUGAGACACGGCCCAAA